GAUUGAACGCUGGCGGCAUGCCUUACACAUGCAAGUCGAACGGUAACAGGUCUUCGGAUGCUGACGAGUGGCGAACGGGUGAGUAAUACAUCGGAACGUGCCCGAUCGUGGGGGAUAACGGAGCGAAAGCUUUGCUAAUACCGCAUACGAUCUACGGAUGAAAGCAGGGGACCGCAAGGCCUUGCGCGGACGGAGCGGCCGAUGGCAGAUUAGGUAGUUGGUGGGAUAAAAGCUUACCAAGCCGACGAUCUGUAGCUGGUCUGAGAGGACGACCAGCCACACUGGGACUGAGACACGGCCCAGACUCCUACGGGAGGCAGCAGUGGGGAAUUUUGGACAAUGGGCGAAAGCCUGAUCCAGCCAUGCCGCGUGCAGGAUGAAGGCCUUCGGGUUGUAAACUGCUUUUGUACGGAACGAAAAGACUCUUUCUAAUAAAGAGG
Molecule: ribosomal RNA, 440 nt
Filed under: Acidovorax sp.
Lineage: Bacteria; Pseudomonadati; Pseudomonadota; Betaproteobacteria; Burkholderiales; Comamonadaceae
Description: bacterial SSU rRNA
Rfam family: Bacterial small subunit ribosomal RNA
Source: RNAcentral